RNAcentral lists this long non-coding RNA (900 nucleotides) under Homo sapiens (human). RNAcentral's name for it is "HSALNT0351646". Lineage: Eukaryota; Metazoa; Chordata; Mammalia; Primates; Hominidae. The record is from RNAcentral.
UGCGACUGUCCAGGACCUGCACACACACACACAUGCACGCAUGCACACACACACACACAGAAGGUGAACACACAGGAUGAGGCCCUGAAAACUCAUUUCACCCGUGUACCUCACCCAAAAAUUCCCCUUUGUACUCCUAUCUUUAUCUCUAACUGACAGCAUGAAGGUAGCCCGAAGUCCCCUCACCCUGUCUGUCCUCCUGAUUCUCUAGCCCAGUUCCCUCUAGCUCCAGCACAGACUCUUAUCUCCAGCCCUGACUGCCGAAACCCUCCAGCCCCAGCUCCAGCCCCUCAGGAGGGGACUGCGUGGGAGGAAUGACUCCAGCAAGCCGGCAGCUGACCCGUCUCCUGCCUGCACGCCUCCCGCUGUGGUCCACUGCCGGUGGUCUUCAGCUCUCUCCUCGUCCCACCCCCAUGGUCUGCUGACAGCCCAGCUCAGUGCAUCCCUGCCAUCUCUGCUCUACCGCUGGUCCUCCCAACAACCAACUUACAGGUGGCCCAGUGCUGAGACACAAGGGAGGUGUUUCUGGUCUGCAGACACUGAGGACGCUUGCUAUGUGGCGUGGUGGACGGUGGGGUUUCACUCCCGUCACCCAGACUGGAGUACAAUGGUGCGAUCUCAGCUCACUGCAACCUCUGCCUCCUGGGCUUAAGCGAUUCUCCUGCCUUGGCCUCCCAAGUAGCUGGGAUUACAGGUGCCUGCCACCACUCCUGGCUAAUUUUUGUAUUUUUUGUAAAGGCGGAGUUUCUCCAUGUUGCCCAGGCUAGUCUCAAACUCCUGAGCUCAAGCAAUCCACCCGCCUCGGCCUCCCAAAUAAGUGGAAUUAUAGGUGUGAGCCACCACGCCGGCCCUGAUGUAUCAAUAUUAAAACAUUUUCUUCAGCCUACAAGUUCUUCUUUU